This 485-nucleotide ribosomal RNA is filed under the name uncultured bacterium. RNAcentral's name for it is "partial 16S ribosomal RNA". It matches the Rfam family "Bacterial small subunit ribosomal RNA", at positions 29 to 506 of the family's 1533-position model. The record is from RNAcentral.
AUUGAACGCUGGCGGCAUGCCUAACACAUGCAAGUCGAACGGCAGCACGGGUGCUUGCACCUGGUGGCGAGUGGCGAACGGGUGAGUAAUACAUCGGAACAUGUCCUGUAGUGGGGGAUAGCCCGGCGAAAGCCGGAUUAAUACCGCAUACGAUCUACGGAUGAAAGCGGGGGACAUUCGGGCCUCGCGCUGUAGGGUUGGCCGAUGGCUGAUGAGCUAGUUGGUGGGGUAACGGCCUACCAGGGCGACGAUCAGUAGCUGGUCUGAGGGGACGACCAGCCACACUGGGACUGAGACACGGCCCAGGCUCCUACGGGAGGCAGCAGUGGGUAAUUGUGGACAAUGGGCGAAAGCCUGCUCCAGCAAUGCCGCGUGUGUGAAGAAGGCCUUCGGGUUGUAUAGCACUUUUGUCCGGAAAGAAAUCCUUGGCUCUAAUACAGGCGGGGGAUGACGGUACCGGAAGAAUAAGCACCGGCUAACUACGU